CUGUUGCAAUCUUUUAUUUACAAUAAUAUCACACUAUAAUGAACAACAGCUUCAAACAGGUACAAAAUGAACAGGUGCAAUUUAUAACGAGAAGACACACUUUGCAUUUUAAAAUCUAUAUUCAAUAGGGAUGAAAUUAUUUGUGACAUUUAAGGUGGUACCUAACACUACAGGGAGAUAACUCUGUAAAAUCAGCUAAACGUUUUGAUUACGUUGUGUUGUAAAGGGAAUACUAAGCUUCUCAAUUAUCAAAAUUGGUGUUUGUCAAACUGCUAUAUAACCAGUGUAAUUUUUCUGAUAAAAUGGUUGGUUCAAAAUUUUUGAAAUUAAUAUAUUUU
Molecule: long non-coding RNA, 338 nt
Filed under: Mytilus galloprovincialis (Mediterranean mussel)
Lineage: Eukaryota; Metazoa; Mollusca; Bivalvia; Mytilida; Mytilidae
Source: RNAcentral